CGAAAAAUAACAAUGCGGGACUCUUCCGAGUCUGCGUAAUUGGAAUGAGCACACUUUAAAUCCUUUAGCAACAACCAAUUAGAGGGCAAGUCUGGUGCCAGCAGCCGCGGUAAUUCCAGCUCUAAUAGCGUAUAUUAAAGUUGUUGCGGUUAAAAAGCUCGUAGUUCGAGGUCAGUUCCGGACUGGGGUGGGAGGUCACCGCCCGGUGCUUCCCCGUCAGGCUCCGAACAGCUUCCUUUUAUGGAAGCCAAGCCGGUUCUGCCGGGGUGCUCUUUACCGAGUGUCCCGCGCGGCCGGCCAGUUCACCUUGAAUAAAUGAGAGUGCUCAAAGCAGGCUACUCUGGAAUACAAUGCCCGAAUGUUAGCUGCAUGGAAUGAUGGAAGA
This 385-nucleotide ribosomal RNA is filed under the name Macrobrachium crenulatum. RNAcentral describes it as "bacterial SSU rRNA". It matches the Rfam family "Eukaryotic small subunit ribosomal RNA", at positions 471 to 824 of the family's 1831-position model. The record is from RNAcentral. Lineage: Eukaryota; Metazoa; Arthropoda; Malacostraca; Decapoda; Palaemonidae.